AAAGUCGUAACAAGGUUUCCGUAGGUGAACCUGCGGAAGGAUCAUUAUUGUUUCGGGGAAAACUAAAACCCCAUUAGGUGUCAAGCUAGUGGAGGGAGCUUGGCAUCGAGGGCCCUGAAAAAAGAGGGAUUUCUUCAACCUUGCCUUUUUUUGCGCACCCCUUGUUUCCUCGGCAGCUUCGCCUGCCAACGAGGACCCUCUUAAACCCCUUUUGCAAUCAGCAUAACGUUCUGAAAACAAACAAUAUUAAAACUUUCAACAAUGGAUCUCUUGGCUCUG
Molecule: unclassified non-coding RNA, 279 nt
Filed under: Ascomycota sp.
Lineage: Eukaryota; Fungi; Ascomycota
Description: partial contains small subunit ribosomal RNA, internal transcribed spacer 1, and 5.8S ribosomal RNA
Rfam family: Eukaryotic small subunit ribosomal RNA (bases 1-47)
Source: RNAcentral